GGUUGUGGCUCAGUGGUAGAGUGCUCGCCUAGCAUGUGUGAGGCCCUGGAUUCGAUCCUCAGCACCA
Molecule: transfer RNA, 67 nt
Filed under: Marmota monax (woodchuck)
Lineage: Eukaryota; Metazoa; Chordata; Mammalia; Rodentia; Sciuridae
Description: tRNA.Ala
Source: RNAcentral